CAGAGGGUGCAAGCGUUAAUCGGAAUUACUGGGCGUAAAGGGAGCGUAGGUGGCUCGAUAAGUCAGAUGUGAAAUCCCCGGGCUCAACCUGGGAACUGCAUCUGAUACUGUUGAGCUAGAGUAUGUGAGAGGAAGGUAGAAUUCCAGGUGUAGCGGUGAAAUGCGUAGAGAUCUGGAGGAAUACCGAUGGCGAAGGCAGCCUUCUGGCAUAAUACUGACACUGAGGCUCGAAAGCGUGGGUAGCAAACAGGGUU
Molecule: ribosomal RNA, 254 nt
Filed under: uncultured bacterium
Lineage: Bacteria
Description: partial 16S ribosomal RNA
Rfam family: Bacterial small subunit ribosomal RNA
Source: RNAcentral